This 496-nucleotide ribosomal RNA is filed under the name uncultured bacterium. RNAcentral's name for it is "partial 16S ribosomal RNA". It matches the Rfam family "Bacterial small subunit ribosomal RNA", at positions 29 to 507 of the family's 1533-position model. The record is from RNAcentral.
AUGCACGCUGGCGGCGUGCCUAAUCCAUGCAAGUCGCGCGAACAGACGAGGAGCUUGCUCCUCUGACGUUAGCGGCGGACGGGUGAGUAACACGUGGAUAACCUACCUAUAAGACUGGGAUAACUUCGGGAAACCGGAGCUAAUACCGGAUAAUAUAUUGAACCGCAUGGUUCAAUAGUGAAAGACGGUUUUGCUGUCACUUAUAGAUGGAUCCGCGCCGCAUUAGCUAGUUGGUAAGGUAACGGCUUACCAAGGCAACGAUGCGUAGCCGACCUGAGAGGGUGGUCGGCCACACUGGAACUGAGACACGGUCCAGACUCCUACGGGAGGCAGCAGUAGGGAAUCUUCCGCAAUGGGCGAAAGCCUGACGGAGCAACGCCGCGUGAGUGAUGAAGGUCUUCGGAUCGUAAAACUCUGUUAUUAGGGAAGAACAAAUGUGUAAGUAACUAUGCACGUCUUGACGGUACCUAAUCAGAAAGCCACGGCUAACUACGUG